GGUGAGAUGGCAGAGCGGACUAAUGCGCCAGUCUUGAAAACUGGUGGCCAACGGCCUCGGGGGUUCGAAUCCCUCUCUCACCG
RNAcentral lists this transfer RNA (83 nucleotides) under Halobacteriales archaeon. RNAcentral's name for it is "tRNA-Ser". It matches the Rfam family "tRNA". From Rfam's summary of the family: Transfer RNA (tRNA) molecules are approximately 80 nucleotides in length. Their secondary structure includes four short double-helical elements and three loops (D, anti-codon, and T loops). The record is from RNAcentral. Lineage: Archaea; Methanobacteriati; Methanobacteriota; Halobacteria; Halobacteriales.